CGUUGGACAUGUCCGCCGACCACAAGGGCCCGUGCCACCGCCGAUGAAUGCGUCCGGGCAACCGCAGCAGCUCGACCAUAGCUCCCACGCGCACGGUGAUGUGCUCGCCCCGUUGGACCCCUCGUUACUGGAGUGCAUCGCCGGCUCGGCCCCGCGGGUCGCUCUAGGCCCGUUGCUGACCGUCCAUGCUCGCCUCCCUCGCUACACACCGCCGUUGGCCGUCGCUUGACGCCAUAGCUCCUUGCCUCCCGCCGCGUCCAUGUUGAGCCGCUGCAUCCAUGCUACCGCUCCUCCCCGCUCGACCCUGCCGCCCGUGCUGACGAGCCGCCGUCGCCCGCAACUCCCACUGUCGCCACCGAGCUUCAGGUCCUGCUCCAGCCACCGGGGACCAGAUCCGGCAAGCCCCGUCAUUGCCGCCCCGGUGUCAACUGUGCACAGGACGAACCCUACAACGCUAGUGCCUUGCUACGUUGACCGCUGCCUAGGCCAGUUUGUGCUGGCCUUGCACAUCACGCCAACCGUCGACCGAGCAACCGCGUCGCGCCGACCCAGAUUCAGCCAGCAGUAGCUGGCCUAGCCGCAACCUCCUCCAACCGCCGGCCCAAGCCCAAUGUAAGCUGCCCUGCAUCCCUUGCCCAGUGCACCAUAUGUUAUCAAUCUCUCACCGGAUUCGGCCCAUUGCAUUAUUUUCAGUUCCACAUAAUUUUUCUAAACCCAGGAUCUGCUAAUUACAAAAAAUCUCAUGGAGUUGCAUUGCUCAUAAUUAAUUAAGCGUGCAUCAGAUUAAAAUUGUUUCGACAUGUAAAAUGUUUAGAAUUGUGUGAUGUUUCACAAUAUCCAACUUUCAACUAUGUUUAAAAUGUUUAACUUCAUGUUUUCAUUUAAUUUGCAUAAAUGCCAUGUUAAAGUUGUUUAAUUUAUAACUAAUUAACCGUAGCUUCAUUUAAUUUUUUAUAUAUGUAUCUUGACUAGAAAAAUGUAAAGAAUAACAUGGUGAUAUUUAUUUUGUUGUUUAGUAACUCUAAUAUUGUGUAUGGGUAUUUUUCAGAAUUUUUAUUCAUUGUUACAACCUCAUUUAAACUUGCUUCGAAUUUCAUGUAGUUUCUUAAUAUCUUGUUGUAUCCAUGAUUUACACGUUUAUGACUUUUAUUUGCAUACAUUUUGCAUUCAUGUCAUAUUAUCUCGUGUUGGUCAUAUCUUUUGAACCGUAACUACGUUUUAGAUGGUCUAUAUAUGUAAAUCGACUAGAAUGACAUGUAGAUUCACAUGGUCCACUUAUUUUACUGCUUAACAAAUGUCAAACAAGUUUAGUUCAGAUCUGGACCAAUUUUGAAAUUAACAUGUGGAGUAAUUUCGAAAAUGCUAUAUGUUGUUUCCGACAUCGUUUCAAAUGCAUAGAUAGUGUAGUUUAUUUAUGCUUCACCUCUUGCCAUGUUUAACAACAUUUAAUAUUUUCUGUACCUAAGCGGGAGUGAACUAAGUAAUUCAAAUGUCGAGUUUCGUCAAUAUGCAUAUUGAACUUCACUUAAUGUGUAGUAUUCCAUUGUUUUGAUUUGCCAUGCCUUGCCUAACUAAACCGGACAUGCAUCAUAUGUGAUUGUGCAUCAUGUCUUUCAUAUGUUGUGGUGUUUAUUGUGUGUUGAUUGUUAUUUACGGAUGGUUUCUUAUCGAUAGAGUUCCGAACCCACUUCGGAGUGUGAGGAUUCGUUCAACUACAUCGGUUUGUCUACUUCACAAAUUUGUUCUUCUUCCAAGCAGGAUCUCACACAAGAUGCUCAUUUCCCUAGAUACCACUACUAUCAUUGCUAUGAUACUUGUCUGUUUGUAUCGCUAUGUCUC
RNAcentral lists this long non-coding RNA (1839 nucleotides) under Hordeum vulgare. Its description in RNAcentral is "long non-coding RNA (HVUL_LNC004065)". The record is from RNAcentral. Lineage: Eukaryota; Viridiplantae; Streptophyta; Magnoliopsida; Poales; Poaceae.